GGAUAUAGCUCAGUGGUAGAGUGUCUGUCUAGCAUGCACAAGGUCCUGGGUUCAAUCCCCAGUACCUCCA
This 70-nucleotide transfer RNA is filed under the name Camelus bactrianus (Bactrian camel). It matches the Rfam family "tRNA". Rfam says of the family: Transfer RNA (tRNA) molecules are approximately 80 nucleotides in length. Their secondary structure includes four short double-helical elements and three loops (D, anti-codon, and T loops). Further hydrogen bonds mediate the characteristic L-shaped molecular structure. tRNAs have two regions of fundamental functional importance: the anti-codon, which is responsible for specific mRNA codon recognition, and the 3' end, to which the tRNAs corresponding amino acid is attached (by aminoacyl-tRNA synthetases). tRNAs cope with the degeneracy of the genetic code in two manners: having more than one tRNA (with a specific anti-codon) for a particular amino acid; and 'wobble' base-pairing, i.e. permitting non-standard base-pairing at the 3rd anti-codon position. Lineage: Eukaryota; Metazoa; Chordata; Mammalia; Artiodactyla; Camelidae. RNAcentral also lists the same sequence under 3 other names. The record is from Rfam by way of RNAcentral.